AAUGGGCGCAAGCCUGAUGCAGCGACGCCGCGUGAGGGAUGGAGGCCUUCCNCNUUGUAAACCUCUUUUGUUUGGGAGCAAGCCUUCGGGUGAGUGUACCUUUCGAAUAAGCGCCGGCUAACUACGUGCCAGCAGCCGCGGUAAUACGUAGGGCGCAAGCGUUAUCCGGAUUUAUUGGGCGUAAAGGGCUCGUAGGCGGCUCGUCGCGUCCGGUGUGAAAGUCCAUCGCUUAACGGUGGAUCUGCGCCGGGUACGGGCGGGCUGGAGUGCGGUAGGGGAGACUGGAAUUCCCGGUGUAACGGUGGAAUGUGUAGAUAUCGGGAAGAACACCGAUGGCGAAGGCAGGUCUCUGGGCCGUCACUGACGCUGAGGAGCGAAAGCGUGGGGAGCGAACAGGAUUAGAUACCCUGGUAGUCCAAGGGCGAAUUC
Molecule: ribosomal RNA, 429 nt
Filed under: uncultured bacterium
Lineage: Bacteria
Description: SSU rRNA
Rfam family: Bacterial small subunit ribosomal RNA
Source: RNAcentral